RNAcentral lists this ribosomal RNA (782 nucleotides) under uncultured Neocallimastigales. Its description in RNAcentral is "partial large subunit ribosomal RNA". It matches the Rfam family "Eukaryotic large subunit ribosomal RNA", at positions 22 to 645 of the family's 3401-position model. The record is from RNAcentral. Lineage: Eukaryota; Fungi; Neocallimastigomycota; Neocallimastigomycetes; Neocallimastigales.
AUAUCAGUCAUGCAUAGCAUAUCAAUAAGCGGAGGAAAAGAAACUAACAAGGAUUCCCCUAGUAACGGCGAGUGAAGCGGGAAGAGCUCAAAUUUGAAAUCUUAAAGGGUUCUACCUUGACGAAUUGUAGUUUAUAGAAGUGUUUUCUGUAGUGGAGUUCGGUAAAAGUUCUUUGGAAUAGGACAUCAUAGAGGGUGAGAAUCCCGUAUUUGAUCAUUACUUUCCUAGCUGUGUGAUACACUUUCAAAGAGUCGGAUUGUUUGGGAAUGCAGUCCAAAAUGGGUGGUAAAUUUCAUCUAAAGCUAAAUAUUGGCGAGAGACCGAUAGCGAACAAGUACCGUGAGGGAAAGAUGAAAAGAACUUUGAAAAGAGAGUUAAACAGUACGUGAAAUUGUCAAAAGGGAAGCGUUUGACACCAGUGUUGUUUUUCCUGAAAAUCAAUUACGAAUGUUUUGUUUUUAAGAAGUUAUGACUUCAUCGGCUUGCUUCUUUCUUUACGAAACUCUCUUAAUGCACUUUUCGGUUAACAAGUCAACAUCAAUUUCUUUUGUUGUAAAAGGGUAUGAGGAAGGUGGCUUUCUUUUCGGAGAAAGUGUUUAUAGCCUUGUGCCUCUGCAAUCGGAGAGAUUGAGGUCUGCAGCGUAGAUCCUUCGGGGUUAGAUACAGUUUGUGCUAAGUUAUAGUCUUUUAUAGACAACUUGUUGACUAUGAUUUAGUCUUGUAGCUUACUCGCUGACUGCUAUUUCACCUACGCUUAGGAUGUUGAUCUCUCACAGUCGAGC